GUGGUUUAUUAUUUGUUACUGUGUGAAUAAGAGUUGAAAAAUACGUUUGUAACACUUACCUUGUUCGGCGGCACCAUUUCAAAGUGGUCCCAGACUUGAGAUCUCUUGCUGGUUGGUUCCAUGUGUGGCAGGGCGUGGCCUGCCCUCCGAACAGGUGCCAUAUGGAGGUAGUGCCUUAAUUGGUGGGUGGGGAGAAAAGGUUUAUAUAAGGCACUGCCUCCAGCUGACUUCAGUUGUUUUCCCUCUUCGACGGUCCGGCGGGGUUGCGGCUUAUCUGGGCGGUUCGACCAACAGAAACUGUUUCACAGCGCGAGCUGUCUGGCAGCGCCAAGAAGGUGCUGCGGGCCACGGCGGGGAUCCAACCCCUGGUGGAGGGCGUUUUCAUCACCCCCCCUCGUGUGUAGUUUUCUUUGCAGUAGCACGGGUGUUUGUAGUUUGUUUAUCUCCCCUAAUUGAGUUUUACCUGCCGGUGGGGCCCCAGCCCUGUCCACCCCUUUUGUUAAUUUAACUAUUAUACAGCAGAGUUAUAUUUUUUUGAGUAUUGGAUUAAAUAAAAUUGUAGUGCCUAACCCUCAAUCCUGUCUCUGCCUCUGGAAUAGAACCUUAUCUGCGCGUGCCUGUUUUCCGGUUAAUUCCUGGGGUGAAACUCCCCAGGUGGCGUUGUCGUCAACCGUUCCACCUCUCUCCACCAUGCCAGCAUCUACUGUACCCUGCAGAAGAAUAUUCUCCAAAUGUGGAGAAAUUGUGAGCAAAAAAACUGGUUAAAUCUCUAUACUGUGGAAAAAAUAACGUACCUCAAUAAAAACCGAGUCCACAAUUAUACAAGAAUACCCAAGCUAUGGCAUAUUUUACCAGCAUUUUCUCCUUAACAAAACAAAGCUCACGUGUGCGCCUCCCGGUCACCAAUAGCGGCUCCAACCCUGCAGUGCAGGGCUCGCGGGUCGCCAGGAGAGGGCGCUAGAACUGCAACUUCAGGUAAUCAUUACUUCGAGUAAUCAUUACAAGUGGUUCGGGAAUUCACAAAAGCUUAAUUUGCCCAUCAUUACUUUUUGUCCUGAUCGGAACCAGACAAAUCUACCGAUCAUCUUGUUGUUGUUGUUCUAUUUCUUUUGGUUUUAAAGGCAGUUGGCAUCUAUAUUGUAGCUGCCACCUUCUGGUCCUCUAUCUAGCGUAUCCAUCCUUCCAUCCUUUUUACUAGACCAGUACGUAAGAAAUUUAUAAAGCUCUUUCCUCCCACCUGAACUCUCUACCCAGCUCAUCCACAUCCACCAUUCCCAGUUUCCUCAGUCCAUCCAUCAUCUUCCUUUCCUCACUAUUAUGCCUACAUAUUAAAGCACAUGUUCUGUUGUCUCCAGUUCAUGACACUGCUCACAUAGAUGGAUGCUUCUCCACAAUGUAUAGCAUAUUGUCUAAGUUGCUCUGCCUAAUUCUUAACCUUGUUAUUAUAACCUGCUCUUUCCUGCUCUUUUCCCUUCUCCUUGAUGCAUUGUCCCUCCUUUUGUAUUGGAAAGAAGAUGCCUCCCCUUGACCUCUGUUUCCCCGCUCUGUUGCCACUGCUCAUUUGCUUUUACCCACACAACACUCUUGCCUUCUGACUUUGAUCUUUAAUUUCUCUGUCAACACUGCUCCUCUUCUCUGCUUCCUUUGCCAACCUCUCUGCCCUUUCAUUCCUCAAGAUCCCCAUGUGAGCUGGGGUCCACAGAAACACAACACAAAGCCCCUUCCCUGCACAUUUCCUCCACUCUCUGAUUAUAUUGAUUACUAAAUUUUGAUGAGCUUUUGAUGCUCCUGUUUUGAUGCUUGUUAAUGCUGAUACUGAAUCACUACAAGUUACUGCCUUCUGGAUGUUGUUCUGAUAAACCCACUGAACUGCCACAUGAAUUGCAACAAAUUCAGUAGCAAAUACACUAAUGUAAUCUGAUGUUCUUUUGCUAUACUCAAAGUUUCUAGAAAGUGCAGACACAGUUGCAUCUGUUUGUGUGUCCUAUAUAUGUAUAUAGACUUUAGCUAAUUGUCCAGGACGGCAAGAAUAUUUGUCAUCGAAGUUCUCGGCUUGUUCUCAACAGGUCAGUGUUGUAUCCAAAGCGGUGGGGAAGUGAAGGGUGUGUCAAAAAGAACAUGCACUUUGCCAGCAGAUGUUAAUGUUCAACAAAGUCUCAAAGUUUAGAAUAUAAACUUUAAGUGGGAAGGCAGAGGAAACAAAAGGGCGGACCUAAAAUCUGAGAAGUUCAAACUGGCAAAUAUAAUCUUACAUGGGAAUCAAUCAGGGAACAAAAACCCAAGAGGGCGAUUGUGGCAAAGGUGGGAGAUGAAAUUAAGUUGUUGCUGAAAACCCUAAUCUGGGGAGUUUUGCCCCAGGAAUAGUUCUGGUGAACCAGGUGUGUUAAAAAAAUGGUCCAAUGUUUCAGCUCACCAAAAGGCACGAGACAGUGUUUCAGAAUUUUAGGAAAACCUUUUUUAUGACCAUGUUUCGCAUUAAACUUCUCAGGGUUACCAAAAAUGGCCAGAAUAGAGGUGGCAGAGGCUGGUGUAGCAGCGCUUGAGGGGAGGGAAGUGAGAGGAAGUGGUGUUUUCAGUCUUCAGGGAGGCAAUCACCACGUUGAUGGGGGCAUGAACACGCUGUGACUGGAAGCAAUAUUAUCAAUCCCACUAUAGCAAUGCUAAAAUGCACAUCCACAGUGUAUCCAACGUGCACACACAGUUCUCUGCUGUACAACACAGUAAAACUGGUAUUUUGAAAUGGGGACCUGAUUUUGUUUUGAAGUCAACAGACACACAGGCAUCAUAGGAACAAAAACACACACUUGGAAGGUCUAAAGCACAUGAUGGGGACUUCAGGGAGACAAUUUGAACAAUUUGGUUUUCAUAUAGUGGCUCAGGCUAAU
This is a long non-coding RNA of Takifugu rubripes (torafugu), 2885 nucleotides long. Lineage: Eukaryota; Metazoa; Chordata; Actinopteri; Tetraodontiformes; Tetraodontidae. The record is from Ensembl.